Molecule: long non-coding RNA, 204 nt
Filed under: Capsicum annuum
Lineage: Eukaryota; Viridiplantae; Streptophyta; Magnoliopsida; Solanales; Solanaceae
Description: long non-coding RNA (CANN_LNC002891)
Source: RNAcentral
ACAAAUCUAACAUCUACAUAAUGUCAUCUACUAUCUAAGCUUAAGUAGGAUAAAAAUUGUGCUCAUCAAUUCAGAUAGCAAAUCUUGGCUUCAUGGAUCCUCUAGCAAUUAUCUCCUAAAUAUUAUGAUGAUGAUGAUUUGUGGAGUUCUCUUCUUCCCCUGGAAUACUCUAUUGUUGCGGUCCUGCCAAAUCAUAUACCCACA